Molecule: ribosomal RNA, 189 nt
Filed under: uncultured Psychroflexus sp.
Lineage: Bacteria; Pseudomonadati; Bacteroidota; Flavobacteriia; Flavobacteriales; Flavobacteriaceae
Description: partial 16S ribosomal RNA
Rfam family: Bacterial small subunit ribosomal RNA
Source: RNAcentral
CCUACGGGAGGCAGCAGUGAGGAAUAUUGGACAAUGGGAGCAAUCCUGAUCCAGCCAUGCCGCGUGCAGGAAGACAGUCCUAUGGAUUGUAAACUGCUUUUAUACAGGAAGAAAAAGCCAGACGUGUCUGGUGUUGACGGUACUGUACGAAUAAGGAUCGGCUAACUCCGUGCCAGCAGCCGCGGUAAU